RNAcentral lists this ribosomal RNA (200 nucleotides) under uncultured bacterium. RNAcentral's name for it is "partial 16S ribosomal RNA". It matches the Rfam family "Bacterial small subunit ribosomal RNA", at positions 332 to 528 of the family's 1533-position model. The record is from RNAcentral.
AAGGUACGGGAGGCAGCAGUGGGGAAUUUUGGACAAUGGGGGCAACCCUGAUCCAGCCAUGCCGCGUGUCUGAAGAAGGCCUUCGGGUUGUAAAGGACUUUUGUUAGGGAGGAAGGCAUUUAGUUUAAUAAACUGGAUGAUUGACGUUAACUACAGAAGAAGCACCGGCUAACUCCGUGCCAGCAGCCGCGGUAAUCCUU